This is an RNA transcript of Echinops telfairi (small Madagascar hedgehog), 6753 nucleotides long. It is a transcript of the gene named ectonucleoside triphosphate diphosphohydrolase 7, with no coding region annotated. The record is from RefSeq and is a predicted model, not a curated record. The transcript has 14 exons. Lineage: Eukaryota; Metazoa; Chordata; Mammalia; Afrosoricida; Tenrecidae.
CGCGGGCAGCGACUUCUGCACCAGCCCAGCGGUGCCGAGGGAGCCGGCCGGGCGCUCGUCCCCGCAGCAGGUCAGAGCGAUGCCUGGGACAGGGAGGCCACAUUCUCAGGGCCGAAGGAAAAGGAGGUGACAGACGUUGAGACCGCGGAAGGGAACCCAUGGCUAGGAUCAGUUUUUCCUACCUCUGCCCAGCCUCCUGGUACUUCACAGUGCCCACGGUCAGCCCGUUUCCCCGGCAGCGAGUGGCGUUCCUGGGCCUCUUCUUCGUAUCCUGUGUCCUUCUCCUGAUGCUAAUGGUGGACUUUCGACAUCGGGCAGUGUCCUUACCACGAGACCGGCAAUACGAAAGGUAUUUGGCACGAGUAGGAGAUCUGGAAGCGACUGACACGGAAGAUCCAGAUCUGAAUUAUGGGCUUGUCGUGGACUGUGGCAGCAGCGGCUCCCGGAUUUUUGUCUAUUUCUGGCCAAGACAUAAUGGGAAUCCUCACGAUUUGCUGGACAUCAAACAGAUGAGAGACCGCAACAGCCAGCCAGUGGUGAAAAAAAUCAAGCCAGGAAUCUCCGCGAUGGCAGACACUCCCGAACAUGCCAGCGAUUACCUUCGACCUCUGCUGAGCUUUGCUGCUGCUCACGUGCCUGUGAAGAAGCACAAGGAGACCCCCCUUUACAUCCUGUGCACCGCAGGCAUGAGGCUCCUUCCUGAGAGGAAGCAGUUGGCCAUCCUGGCUGACCUCGUGAAAGACCUACCUCUGGAGUUCGACUUCCUCUUUUCCCAGUCUCAGGCCGAAGUGAUCUCUGGGAAGCAGGAAGGGGUUUAUGCAUGGAUUGGAAUCAACUUUGUUUUGGGAAGAUUCGACCAUGAAGACGAAUCAGAUACUGAAGUGCCCCAGGAAUUGGCCACCGGACGCAGAAGGACAGUAGGGAUCCUGGAUAUGGGAGGAGCCUCUCUCCAAAUUGCUUAUGAAGUUCCUACCUCAGCCUCUGACCUUUCUCCAAAACAGGAAGAAGCUGCCAAGAUCCUGCUGGCCGAGUUCAACCUGGGCUGUGAUGCCCAGCACACCGAGCAUGUCUACAGGGUGUACGUCACCACCUUCCUGGGAUUUGGCGGGAACUUUGCCCGGCAGCGCUAUGAAGACCUUGUGUUGAAUGCAACACUUCACAAAAACAGGUGGCUGGGCCAGAAGACAGGCCUAAGUCCCGAAAAUCCGUUUCUGGACCCCUGCCUGCCUGUGGGACUCACGGAUGUGGUGGAGAGGAACAGCCAAGUCCUGCAUGUUCGAGGCAGAGGAGACUGGGCGACGUGUGGGGCCAUGCUGAGCCCGCUGCUGGCUCGCUCCAACACUAGCCAAGCCUCGCUGAACGGCAUCUACCAGUCGCCAAUUGACUUCAACAACAGCGAGUUCUACGGCUUCUCGGAGUUCUUUUACUGUACCGAGGAUGUGCUGCGCAUCGGUGGCCGCUACCAUGGGCCAUCGUUUGCCAAGGCUGCUCAGGAUUACUGUGGCAUGACCUGGUCGGCCCUCACUCAGAGAUUCAAGAACGGCCUCUUUUCAUCACAUGCAGAUGAACACAGACUCAAGUAUCAGUGUUUUAAGUCGGCCUGGGUGUACCAAGUCCUUCACGAAGGGUUCCACUUUCCCUAUGACUACCCAAACCUACGGACGGCCCAGCUGGUGUAUGACCGAGAGGUGCAGUGGACACUGGGAGCCAUUCUGUAUAAAACACGAUUCUUACCACUCAGGGAUAGACGGCAGGAGGGUGUCCGGCAAAUGCACGGUGGCUGGUUUCGCCUGUCUUUUGUCUACAAUCACUAUCUCUUCUUCGCCUGCAUCCUGGUGGUGCUGCUGGCCAUCAUUCUGUACCUUCUGCGGCUGCGCCGAAUCCACCACCGACAAGCCCGAGCCUCAGCGCCACUGAACUUGCUGUGGAUUGAGGAGGUGGUGCCCAUGAUUGGGGUACAGGUGGAGCCAUGAGGCUGGACCAAGACUCGAGAAAUGUGACUCGCCCAGAGUUGCUGCUCACGGAAUUCCACCACGUUCCCGCACUGGCUUCAGGUGCUGCUUUGCCUGACCUUCUGGAUAACCGGCCGUGGGAUGUCUACUUCGAUGACAUCCAUGCACCCCGGGGCCUCUUCUCUGAGAGAAGCUAUAAUGCAAGCUGUGAAGAACUACACGCCCUGAGAGAUGGGUGCUAACACAGGGGGCCAGCUGGAGCUCCAUUGCACGCUCUAUUCCCCUGUCUGAGAGGGCCGGUCCUGGGGAUCUAGCCUUUUCUCCCCUCGCUAAAGCACCAGGUUUGGCAUUGGGCAGCACCUUGGUGGAAGCUUGAUUGAACCCAAGCCUGGAGCAUCGGACGCCAACUCAGAGACAUCGCAGGACGUGCAGCCGCCCCUUCCUUCUCUGUAACAGCGCUUUAAUUGAUGCGGAGAUCCACAGCCUUCAGUCGGGUUCCAAGAUCUUUGCCGUUCAGUGGACCAAAUCUUUGCCGUUUAAGCCACCAAAAUAGCAUACAGCUUCCUGGCUGACUUGACAAAGAAGCCACUGUGGGCAUGGCCCAAACCCUCCCACAGAGUAUUGCCCAUGGUGGUGUGUGUGUGUGUGUGUUUGUAAAAGGGGUAAAACCCCUUGUAAAUGAAUGGUCUAUCGAAGAUUCUGACAAUAACAUAUGGGGACCCUGGUAUUGCCCAUGGUGGUGUGUGUGUGUGUGUGUUUGUAAAAGGGGUAAAACCCCUUGUAAAUGGUCUAUCGAAGAUUCUGACAAUAACAUAUGGGAUCCUUGGUAAGACCAGGGCGGCAAUGAAUUCUGUGUCCAUGUGCCUCACAGGCGGGCGGUUAGGGCAUCGAGCCUUCACUGUGCUCAUAUGACGGAGCGCCGUGAUGGGGCUCCGGGCCCGGCACCGUCUAGUUUUGGGUCUCCCAGCCUCUUUUGAUGGAUAGGGAGAUUCAGUGAGCUCCUCCCCUUUACUACCAAGAUCAGUCUGCAGUCUGCGGAGGAGUGCAUGGAGCUCAUUUACAAAGACUGCAAGAGAAACAGAAGUGUGGGCAAAGGCAAUAAAAUGAAAGCUCCUAUUUAUUCAUGUUGAAGUUUUUGUUUAUGUUUGAGAGGAAUUUUUCAAUCUUUUGACUUCUGGAAUGUCUGAAAAGUUUCACAUUUUGGAACAAACGGCUCCAUCUGCUGAUGAGCUAUCUGGCAACCUUUAGAACUUCUUCUGUUAAGCCAUUGCUCAGUCACUACCUGCAUUUCCAUCAAUGGGGGGGUGGGGGGCAGCCAUCAGGAUGCCAUUUGCAUCCACCCAAAGCUCCCCUUCAGGAGAUUGGCUCCUUCCCCACAUCCAGCAUUUAAAUGGCUUGAACCGUUCCCUUCCAAGGACUCUUGUCUUUCCUGUGGAGCCUUCUGUAUCCUUCCUUCCCUUGUGCCCCCUGGGGGCCGUGGACAUCGGGCCCAGGGUGACUCCCAGAGCUGGGGUCAUCUCUGAGUGAAGAGGGUAAAGGGCCUUCUGACCUGAAAGGAAAAACAUCAUGGAAUUCUGCAACAUAGCAAUUCCACACGGAGACUGGAAAGGAAUGCCCGGCUUCACCCACCAGAGACAAAAACGGAGGUGCCGUGCGUGUCUUGCCGCUUGGUUGUAGGGGAGCCAGGAGCCUCUCUUCCCAGCAGAGGCAGGCGCACCUGGUGCCGAGGAGUGCGGUUUCUUUUGGACCUAGUCGUUCCUUUUCAUUAGAACUGUGCCACGGCGGUUUCCUUUCCGUAUUUAGACCUCGAAAUUGCCUGGAUAUUCUUUGACUUCAUAUUCUCUCUGGGUCCUGAGGCGGAGGCCCUGGCCUGAAGGAAGACGGCUUAUACAUAACGUCACAGUCCGUGUUGGCUAGCCAGUGCCCACUCAGGUAACCUUUGCCCCCCCUUGGUUUCCGAGUGCUAUUUUCUGGUUUUCUUGGGCGGAAACGGCCAAGUCAAAAUCGACCUGACAGACUGAACAGGGGUCCCAGCCUUGUGCGCCACAUGAACUUGAAGCGAGGAGGAGUUGUGAUUGACCCAAUGGCGAGAUAGCGCUUCAUAGGAGCGUUGUGGCGAGAACGCCGACCGUUUGUUCAAGCACUUCGUGUGUACCAGGCCCGCUGGAGCUGGUGUGUCCUGACAACAUGUCCAAAGUAUGUAAGAGGAAGCCUCGUCGCCAUCCGUUCCCCCAAGGCCACUCUGGCCGUGCUUCUUCCAAGAUGAAUGUUUGUCCUUUGAGCAGUGGCAUGACAGCCACUCAACCGGUAGUAUCUCAAAGCCAACGCAUGCUGUCUGUCUCUCUGUACUUUCGCUCCUUGAACUUCACUGGUCUAGGAAAUCCGAAUCACUUCCCACCAACCUCAUUUACUCUCCGGAUGUCAUCCGAAAUUCUGUCCCUCCCUCGGUCUAAGAGCGGUCUUCAAUUUCAAAGGCCGAGGGCAGUGAUGAUUGGCAAGUUGUUGACUGACUGUCUGCCCUGAACUUCCUGAAUUCGUCUUCGCAAGCACUAACAUUUAUUGUCACAUCCCCAUUUACAGUUCCUUACUGGUUUUAUCUAAACACAUACCUCCCCUCCACCCUACUUCCCCAUAGUUUUGUAGUUUGCUUUUUUUUUUUUGGUCCAGGGUGGCAGACAGACAAGUAGGUGGCAUGAUUUGGGCUUAAUGAACAGCAGACUGGGCUGCUCAUCUCGGCUUUGGUUCCCAGGAGCAUGCCACUUGCCCUCGGGCUCCCUUCUGGUCUGUAGAAUGAGGUAGCUCAACAGGAGACUCAGCGGAACUAGAGCGAGAGAGAAGAUCGAAAAGCCAUACAGUGUCUGGAAGCGGGCUCUGGUCUUUGGCUUAAAAGACCAGGCGUCCCCUAAAGCCAUUGGUCACCUCCUGUUUUAUCCAUAGCCCCUGGUAAUAAGGCUGAGGUUGAUUAGAUUUGUCCAAAUUUCUUUUAAUCCUUUAAAAAUAUUUACAUGCCUUUUUCAAAUAACGUGCUUAAUUUUGUACAGCUGGCUUCAACCACAGUUCUCUUCAGCAGGUCCUGGUGGUUACAAUUCAGCCUCACGUAAGGGAGACAUGCCUACUGGCCCUCCCGCGAUAGGAAUUUGGUGGUUAACUCCCGGGCAGUCUCCAGGCUUCUUUACAGCAACAAAGUUCCUCUCUGCCGUCUUUACAGCCCUUCUCAAAGCAAUUCAGAGCUACUAUCUGACUUUCCCUUCUUGCUGGUGGUAGGUGGUGUAGCUUUGAAUUGGGCUUAAGAAUUCCCUCCGGUCAUUCCGUUAGCUUCUCCCGGCUUCACUGUCACUGGGCCAGAUGCUUCCCUCCAACCUGCGAGGAUUUUGUUGCUGCUACAAAAGAUCAUAGUAAAACACGAGGCCUUAAAAAACGGCAAGUUUCGAUCCUUCCAAUGAAUAAACAACACAGCAGGCUUCUUCUGCUUCUCCUUUGCCAACCAGUGAACAUGCUUGAAAUCGGGUGCUUUGAGGGAUUGCCUCCCUCUCGAUGGCUCCACUCCUGUCUUCAUCAUGGUCUGGGUUGGAUCUAAACCGAAACGACGGAGGGCCUGCACCCGGGGAUCCGUCCGUCUUCUGGUUGUGGUUUCUACCUGGGGUUCUCGCACACGUGGCUUGCUACAGCUUCAUCUGAAGCCUCUUGUCUCCUUCCCAUCUCCUUUCUUACAUCCCAGGAGACUCCCUUGCAUCCUGACACCAGUUUCCCUGUUGCCUAGUGUAUCCCUAGAGCCCAGAUGACUAGUGCCCUACAUGGAGGGCCCUGAGCGCAACAGCACAGCCGUUUCCCUGGAAGUCUGCACAAUUAGAUCCUUUUGUUUGUGACAGGGACUCCUUUCUAAGGGCUUUCUACUUUUAAGGUGUAUUCAAUCAUUGCUUGUCAAUUUCAUAGAUACCAAAGUUGAGGAAAAUACCUAUGUCAUAGGUAGUUUAUAGCCAUGUGUGCAUGACUUCUGGCAAGCCCCAAGAACUCCUGAUCCUCUUCAGAGCAGGGCAGCCAUCAGGCUCCUUUUGGUGGCCGGCCACUGCUCUGCACCACGGGAGCUCUGGCAGCUCCUCCGUGGCUCCUCUCCUGAGCACCUAGGCCUGUGAAGCUGGCGCUGAUGGUUCGGAACCUUAUUAGCUUCCCAAGUGGCUUUCUCUGCAAGGAGGGACCCCGGCAAAUUGAGUUCUGGUUUUCUUGUUUAAAAUUCUUUCAGCUGUUCCCUUGUAGGCAGGUGCAGGAGCAUAUGCUGUCUCCCCUCCAUUACUCUGCUGUGAGCAGUGCGUUUUGCAGUGUAUCGGCGGCCUCUUUCUUAUUAGGAUCCAGAACCAGAGGCUCUCUCCUCACAGAAACCCCGCAGGCUGCCUGGGCUGCAGAUGCUGUGUGCGCCUGUUUCCCGUGAAACGGUGGUCCUGAACACAGCUCUUCAAGCUCGUGGUGAUGAAGACUAACUCAGUGUUGGGCAGACUAUGCAAUGCACGAGAGGCCAUGCACGAGCCCUCACGCGGGGUGUGGGCCUUGGUUUCACGCUGACACAAAACCCACCACCAGAUGACGCUUGCAGAUCAACUGGCUAUCCCAGGAGGAGGAGCGCUAGUUUGGGCCUUUGCUACCAGUAUCACUUUAGAGUUGGGGUAAUCAUGACCCCUUGUUAGUAUACAUGAACGACAAAUCUGGUUGACUGCCUUGAGAGACUGGCUAGACUAGAGCUAAAUGUAAGCAGACCCAUCUUCCCAGACGUUUUCCAUCAUAUUUAAUAAACUGAAACUUGAACUUA